GCGGACCCAAAACCGACACCUGCGAGACA
This 29-nucleotide small RNA is filed under the name Bombyx mori (domestic silkworm). RNAcentral describes it as "ovarian small RNA-16921". Lineage: Eukaryota; Metazoa; Arthropoda; Insecta; Lepidoptera; Bombycidae. The record is from RNAcentral.